GGGAAUGUGGCUCAAUGGUAGAGUGCUUGCCUCACAUGCAUGAGGCCCUAAGUUUGAUUCUUCAGUAUCA
RNAcentral lists this transfer RNA (70 nucleotides) under Dipodomys ordii (Ord's kangaroo rat). It matches the Rfam family "tRNA". From Rfam's summary of the family: Transfer RNA (tRNA) molecules are approximately 80 nucleotides in length. Lineage: Eukaryota; Metazoa; Chordata; Mammalia; Rodentia; Heteromyidae. The record is from Rfam by way of RNAcentral.